CCUACGGGGGGCUGCAGUGGGGAAUAUUGGACAAUGGGGGGAACCCUGAUCCAGCCAUGCCGCGUGUGUGAAGAAGGCCCUCUGGUUGUAAAGCACUUUCAGUGAGGAAGAACGCCUGGUGGUUAAUACCCAUCAGGAAAGACAUCACGCACAGAAGAAGCACCGGCUAACUCCGUGCCAGCAGCCGCGGUAAUACGGAGGGUGCGAGCGUUAAUCGGAAUUACUGGGCGUAAAGCGCGCGUAGGUGGCUUGAUAAGCCGGUUGUGAAAGCCCCGGGCUCAACCUGGGAACGGCAUCCGGAACUGUCACGCUAGAGUGCAGGAGAGGAAGGUAGAAUUCCCGGUGUAGCGGUGAAAUGCGUAGAGAUCGGGAGGAAUACCAGUGGCGAAGGCGGCCUUCUGGACUGACACUGACACUGAGGUGCGAAAGCGUGGGUAGCAAACAGGAUUAGAUACCCGUGUAGUC
RNAcentral lists this ribosomal RNA (465 nucleotides) under Vreelandella stevensii. RNAcentral's name for it is "partial 16S ribosomal RNA". It matches the Rfam family "Bacterial small subunit ribosomal RNA", at positions 338 to 795 of the family's 1533-position model. Lineage: Bacteria; Pseudomonadati; Pseudomonadota; Gammaproteobacteria; Oceanospirillales; Halomonadaceae. The record is from RNAcentral.